Molecule: ribosomal RNA, 542 nt
Filed under: uncultured archaeon
Lineage: Archaea
Description: bacterial SSU rRNA
Rfam family: Archaeal small subunit ribosomal RNA
Source: RNAcentral
GUCAGCCGCCGCGGGAACACCGGCGGCCCGAGUGGUGAUCGUGAUUAUUGGGUCUAAAGGGUCCGUAGCCGGUUUGGUCAGUCCUCCGGGAAAUCUGAUAGCUCAACUAUUAGGCUUUCGGGGGAUACUGCCAGACUUGGAACCGGGAGAGGUAAGAGGUACUACAGGGGUAGGAGUGAAAUCUUGUAAUCCCUGUGGGACCACCUGUGGCGAAGGCGUCUUACCAGAACGGGUUCGACGGUGAGGGACGAAAGCUGGGGGCACGAACCGGAUUAGAUACCCGGGUAGUCCCAGCCGUAAACGAUGCUCGCUAGGUGUCAGGCAUGGCGCGACCGUGUCUGGUGCCGCAGGGAAGCCGUGAAGCGAGCCACCUGGGAAGUACGGCCGCAAGGCUGAAACUUAAAGGAAUUGGCGGGGGAGCACAACAACGGGUGGAAGCCUGCGGUUUAAUUGGACUCAACGCCGGACAACUCACCGGGGGCGACAGCAAUAUGUAGGCCAAGCUGAAGACUUUGCCUGAAUCGCUGAGAAGAGGUGCAUGG